Molecule: ribosomal RNA, 292 nt
Filed under: uncultured Alphaproteobacteria bacterium
Lineage: Bacteria; Pseudomonadati; Pseudomonadota; Alphaproteobacteria
Description: partial 16S ribosomal RNA
Source: RNAcentral
GGACUACAAGGGUAUCUAAUCCUGUUUGCUCCCCACGCUUUCGCAUCUCAGCGUCAGUACCGGGCCAGUGAGCCGCCUUCGCCACUGGUGUUCUUGCGAAUAUCUACGAAUUUCACCUCUACACUCGCAGUUCCACUCACCUCUCCCGGACUCAAGGUCUCCAGUAUCAAAGGCAGUUCCAAGGUUGAGCCUUGGCAUUUCACCCCUGACUUAAAGACCCGCCUACAUGCGCUUUACGCCCAGUGAUUCCGAACAACGCUAGCCCCCUUCGUAUUACCGCGGCUGCUGGCAC